RNAcentral lists this ribosomal RNA (463 nucleotides) under uncultured bacterium. RNAcentral's name for it is "bacterial SSU rRNA". It matches the Rfam family "Bacterial small subunit ribosomal RNA", at positions 917 to 1382 of the family's 1533-position model. The record is from RNAcentral.
GGGCCCGCACAAGCGGCGGAGCAUGCGGCUUAAUUCGAUGCAACGCGAAGAACCUUACCUGGGCUUGACAUGCAGGGCAAAGCCGGUGAAAGCCGGCGCUCUACGGAGCCUGCACAGGUGGUGCAUGGCUGUCGUCAGCUCGUGCCGUGAGGUGUUGCCUUAAGUGGCGCAACGAGCGCAACCCUUGUCCUUAGUUGCCAGCGGGUCAUGCCGGGAACUCUAGGGAGACUGCCGGUGCCAAACCGGAGGAAGGUGGGGAUGACGUCAAGUCAUCAUGCCCCUUAUGUCCAGGGCUGCACGCAUGCUACAAUGCGCGGUACAAAGGGCUGCAAACCCGUAAGGGGGAGCGAAUCCCAAAAAGCCGCGCUCAGUUCGGAUCGGGGUCUGCAACCCGACCCCGUGAAGUCGGAGUCGCUAGUAAUCGCAGAUCAGCAAUGCUGCGGUGAAUACGUUCCCGGGCCUU